GCCUUCGUAGCAUAAUCGGUAGUGCAUUCGACUCUUAUACAGAGUAGUCGUCUUGACUGGUAAAGAGACUUUUCAGAUUUAAUCGAAAGGUUGCGGGUUCGAGCCCCGCCGAGGGCU
This is a non-coding RNA of Meira miltonrushii, 117 nucleotides long. The record is from the annotation of a RefSeq genome assembly. Lineage: Eukaryota; Fungi; Basidiomycota; Exobasidiomycetes; Exobasidiales; Brachybasidiaceae.